This 984-nucleotide ribosomal RNA is filed under the name human gut metagenome. RNAcentral describes it as "bacterial LSU rRNA". It matches the Rfam family "Bacterial large subunit ribosomal RNA", at positions 1942 to 2925 of the family's 2925-position model. The record is from RNAcentral.
AUAACGGUCCUAAGGUAGCGAAAUUCCUUGUCGGGUAAGUUCCGACCCGCACGAAUGGUGUAACGACUUGUGAGCUGUCUCAACAGGGGGCCCGGUGAAAUUGAAGUAUGGGUGAAGAUGCCCAUUACCCGCGACUGGACGGAAAGACCCCGUAGAGCUUUACUGCAGCCUGAUAUUGAGUUUCGGUAAUUGAUGCACAGGAUAGGUGGGAGUCUGAGAGACACGGGUUUCGGCUCGUGUGGAGACGAUGUUGGGAUACCACUCUUCGGUUACUGAAAUUCUAACAUAGCUCUGUGAAACCAGAGGAUGGACAGUGUCAGGUGGACAGUUUGACUGGGGCGGUCGCCUCCGAAAGAGUAACGGAGGCGCCCAAAGGUACCCUCAGAAUGGAUGGAAACCAUUCGAAGAGCGCAAAGGCAGAAGGGUGCCUGACUGCGAGAUUGACAAAUCGAGCAGAGACGAAAGUCGGGCUUAGUGAUCCGGCGGUAUUGAGUGGAAAAGCCGUCGCUUAACGGAUAAAAGCUACCUCGGGGAUAACAGGCUGAUCUCCCCCAAGAGUCCACAUCGACGGGGAGGUUUGGCACCUCGAUGUCGGCUCAUCACAUCCUGGGGCUGUAUUCGGUCCCAAGGGUUCGGCUGUUCGCCGAUUAAAGUGGUACGCGAGCUGGGUUCAGAACGUCGCGAGACAGUUCGGUCCCUAUCUGUCGUGGGCGCAGGAUAUUUGAGGAGCUCUGUCCUUAGUACGAGAGGACCGGGAUGGACGUACCUCUGGUGCACCAGUUGUCAUGCCAAUGGCACGGCUGGGCAGCUAUGUACGGAACGGAUAAACGCUGAAAGCAUCUAAGCGUGAAGCCGACUCCAAGAUUAGAUAUCCCAUCGUAUAACGAGUAAGACCCCUUGAAGACUACGAGGUUGAUAGGCUGCGUGUGUAAGUGCCGUGAGGCAUUCAGCUUGGCAGUACUAAUAGGUCGAGGGCUUGACCAC